AAGAGCUGCUGCGCCGUCAGCCCGUCGUCGGGCACGUAUCCGGUGCCGCCGCUGAUCAGAUAGUCCGCCAUGGCCCCGCCGCGUGCCCGCCCCGCCACACCGAGCGCACGCGCGCCCCGACGGCCGCCGGGGCCAACCCGGCUGCGCCCGCCCCGCGGAGCGGACAGAGCGGCCCCCGGCAACGGCCGGCACCGCAUCGCCCCCUGCCGGCCCGGAGGGCCCCGCACCGCGACACGGCCCUGGAGCCCGCCCAGCGCUGUCGGCACCGGGGACACGCCGGCGACACAGCGGGCCCGGGUGACGCUCUCAGCCGCCGGGAGUUCCCCCUGAGCGUCUCCUCAGCACCGGCCCCGCGCGUGCCCAGCCCGGUGCCGCCGGGUCGGCGCGGCCGUUGUGUGCUCGGGCACUGCAGCCGCGUCCGCGUGUCGGGGGAGGCAGGAGGACAGAGCUCCGGGACAGCCCAGCACAGCCCUGGGCGCCGUUCCUUGGCUUGGCUGACACAGCGUGGCCAGCGCAGUGUGACACCUGCUACAGCACCGCCUAAGAAAGCCCAGCAAUGGGUGAUGCACACAAACACGGUGGGGUGGGAGCUGAGCCCAACACCAGAUAGUCCAGCAACUUCUGCAGGAAGAUGAGAAUGGGCCUGUUGGGUCUGUGGUGGAUGCAGAGCUGGGACACACCAGCAGGACCCAAAGCAACUUUGUAAGUCAAAGUGAGCUGCAAGAAGGAUGAAAGUCAAAAAGUGGCAAGCAAGGCAGGUUUGGCACCAAGAGGGGAAUGAAAGGCACGAAGGAGAGGGUCCAAAGCGAUCCCAGCUAGGUAUUAUCCCCCUCUUGCCAAAGCCCCGAGGCCAGGCUGUACAAACAAGCACUGUGAAGAGGAUGGCUGCACAUGGGGGACUGUAGUGUAGCACCUUCCUGUCUGUGCUGCAGGUGGUGACUGGAGGCAGGAUUUUGGAGAAGAGCAGUAGCAGGAGUAGGGAGGACUGUGCCUGGAAUGGAACAGGCAAAAAAACACAGAUCUGCCUUAGAGGACCCUUGAAGGAAACAGCAGUUGUUUCUUUUCCAGGAUGAGAUGUUCUCAUGCCUGCAGGUCUGUUGGAGCAUCAGGAAAAGUAUCUGUACUGCAGGUUACAGAACAACUUCCUUCUCUGAUGGCUGGUUUCCUUCUUGUGACAUUCCAGAUCUGGCCUCAGAGCAGCACCAGGGACAGAAGACAACCAGACCCCUUCUCACCCACUGUCCUAGGUAACCCCUAGUCUAACACUAACCAGUUCGGGGACUAAAGAAUGGUGCUCCUGUGCCUGCAACUGUCCUACUGCAGUAGGUUAAAUCCUUGUCCAAGGAUCAGAAAUCAGCUUCAAGAAAUGUGUAACUCAUGUUACCCAGCUGUAGGACACAGAAAAUGUAACAGUGACAUCUGCUCAGGUCUCCUGAAAUACUUGGAAGCGAACAGGCUUUUUAUCCUGCGAGGGUCAUCAGUCACGUUCAAGCCUCUAGUUUGGACCAACAUAUUUUCAUCUGAGGAAGGUUCUACAAAAGACAACAUGGAGUUUAGAGAAAGACAGUUAGGCCAGUGACUUUUACGGAGGGUGAGAAGCCCCAAACAAGUGAACUAUCUAUGGACAGGAGGAGGACUCCCAAGCGACUUGUUUGGUCUCAGCAGCAGUGAUCUGCAAAGGUUGUGGUCUCCAAGCUACAGUUGUUUCCCAUGGGAUGGUGGGUUUGUCUGUAGCAGGAAAGGAAGGUGCAAGCCUCAGCAUGAGGAUGUUCCCUUUGCUAUGAGAAAGGGUACAUGUGGCUUUCAAGGCCGCCCCAGAACUAGGAAAAUGCAGCCCUUGCACAGCAAAGAGCCAGUGACAAGGAUCUGCAAUGGCCCUUAAAACUUUCAGCCAAGAGUGGUGGUGAUGAUAUCGCCAACAUCAACACCAUCUCCUUCCCACAGCCACCCAGUAACAGUGCUUUGUUGUUAUGUGACAUUCUGAACUCUAUAGGGUAGAGUAUACAGCAGACUGUAUUCCACCCUGCUGUUACCUCUGCACAUAACUCCUGGGCUGAAUUUCAGCUAAGAGCUCACUUCUCCUAUCCACACACCAAUGUCCCACUGGUUGCAGUUUGCCUGAGCUAGGGAGCUGGAAGAAAAGCACCGUCCUUUGCAGAAAAUAAAAGCACCUAGGCCCACGCCACUGAAAGCCGUUCCCCGUCAAGGCACCAAGAUGGUUAUCCCAGAGGCAGGGAUCAGAGCCACAGCGUUCCCAAGGAAAGCGCUGCCUGCCAAGGACACGCACUCUCGAGUCAGCAUUACCUGUCACAGGAUCAGCACAACAGGAGGCAUCGUGCCAGACCAAAAUCAGGCUAACAGGUCUCUCUACCCUUAUUUAAAACAAAGACAGGCUAACAAAGGCUUGCUGAGCCUACCUGGGCGGCACACACUGAUCUGAGCUACAGCACGGGCACAGCAGUGAACAGGCAAGUUGGCUUCUGUUCCAAUGGAAACAUCAGACAAAGUUUAAUGGUUCUCAAACAGACUACAACAAAGGCUGCAGGGAAAAACAUUUUAUUUCCAAGCAGAUUACAAAGAGCAGAGAAUAUAAGAGUAAAAUUAAAUUAAAAAAAUAGUUGAGUGCAUCUCUUUAAAAUGAUUUGUAGUGUGAGUUACUCACGGGGCAAAGCUACUGGAGAGUUCUGAAGGUCACUUUGCAGGAUGCCAAUCACAUGUGCUGUUUAGACCUGGGUCAACACAGGAGGGACAGACAAGACGUAUUUUGCAUAUAGGCUGCACACUCAUUAUCAAGCGAGGCUCUGGGCUGCAACUGGACCCUGCCUUUCCGAGACAUCCCCUCCACCUCGUUUCUCUCCUGCAGUUCCCUCAAGUUCUAGACAUGGUUUAUUGCUGCUGUAAGUGAGUUCAAUCUGCCUCCCCAUUCUGAUGAGCUCCAAUGAGAAGGAAGAAGCAGGCAAACGUGUCUGCCAUGCACAAGGUUAUACAGGGAAUGUGGCUGCAGUGCUGAGGGCAGAGCUUCAGCCACACAGCAAAGGGAACCGACAAGUAGGGGGCACAGCGAGUGCUUCAGAGAUUUGGGGGCAGCAUGUCAGCUAGACUUCUGGAAGAAGAUUUGAGAUGCUCCUUAAGGUAGGAAGAGACUCAAGUGGAGAAAAGCUCCUUCCUAUGCAUUGGCACCAGUGAAACAGAAGAGGCUGAAUCAUCAUGAUAAGGUGCAUUCCCUGUAAUAUCUGAGGAGCAGCUCCAGCAGUAAGAUGGGCAGAAAAACCCCAUAUAGGGUGGAAGACAGCUGAUAUCCCACUUUAACAGUGAUUUAAGAGUCCAAGCACUAAUUCCAAGUCAGUUACUAUGAAACUCACACAAGAAUGCAGUUUGGCUGGACUGUGCAGAGUCAAUCAGUGUCUAGCAGCACUCAGAGCAGCAGGAGGAUGUGCAACUACAGCACCAGCAAGUCUUCCACCCCCUGUAUGCUAAGUGGACUCUUUUCUACCACUUCUGGAUCUGCUCUGCUCUCACAGCAUAAGGGGCUUGGAGGCCUCAUCCCUUCUACUGUAGCACACAGUAGCCCUAAUGCAGCUGAGAACAAGGCUGUCUUAAUUUCUGCCCCAGGAGCAACAGUGCAGAAGAGGAUUCUUAUCUAGGGACCAGAUUACAUAUUUUUUAUUGCCCAAGGCAGAACAGUUCAGGGACUACUUCAGACCUUGUGACCCAUCUAAUAAGUCCAGACCUCUAGGGGUGAAGAAGCCAAUAGAUGAAAGCCCUAUUAAGUUACUUGGACCAUUCCCUUUACUCACCACUCUAGACAGAAGAACCACUCUCUAGUCUGCUCGUUGCUGCUUCAGCCAUUACCACUCAGAAGAAAUGCUUGAACUCUUGAAAGCAAAUGAAAAUCUAAUGGUGCCAUGGACAAGCGUGUUAAGAGGCUACAAGUUUCCUAAAGAAAGCAACACUGUUAGUGUCAAGAGCUUGGACAAUACAUGAGUCUCAUGUCAGAAUGUGAGGUGCUUUACAACAGUCAGUCACGCUCUGAUUUCCAUGGUUCCUUUCAUACCCUGGCAACAAGAUGGGCACAGUUCAAAACCAACAUGGUAGGGUCUCUACCUUGACUUCUCAGCUCUAUUUGUUUAGAGAUCAAUGCAUUUUCAGCCUGUCUCAUACAAGGCAUGGGGCAGGGAGAGUUCCUGUUGAAUAUAUACACGCAUACAAGAGCGAGCAGUUUGGCACUCUCAGAGCCGAGGGGGAAUGCCCUUGAAGCAGCAGUCAAGCUGGUUAUAGGAAAGUGUUAAAAAGCUAUUUUACAUGUUUGACUGGGAACAUUUCCCAGAACUCGGACAGCAACUCUAAGCCGCAGCACUCUUCUGUGCUACUCUGUGCACGUAUUCCUAUGAGCCCCUACAAGGGAGCAGAUCAUGUUCUUCACUAUCAAAGAACAUAGUAUUUAUAUUCUAGAAAUACUGUACCUUUUAAAUUAGCUCCAGAGAGCCAGACUAGAAGCCAGGUCCAGGAAAAUAAUCCUUAAGUCACAGUAUAUCGAUUGUCUCUAAAAAUAGGGAAUGAAGUUAACACAGUGGACAUUCUGAUGAGACAGUACGGAACAGUACAGCAGUCCACUUCUGCCUCAGCAGAUCCCUCUCCUAUGUACAUCUGAACAAUGAGAAAGUAAUGGAGACACUUCAGUCCAUCAGGACAAAACCAAUCAUCAGGAGAUCUCCACAGCUCACCAUGUGCCAAGUUUCCCUGUUACUAAUCAGUAUACUCCAAGAUCAAGGAGAACUCUUCCCCUACAAAGACUUUAGAUCAUCCUGAAGUUAAGGGUUGUAAGGAAAGUGCACAGCCUAGAAUUUUAAGGUAACACGGAAUCCUGUUUCCCCAGAAAACUCAGCUGAAGUACCUGUUUCAUCCCUAACCUGCAACUGCCCCAAUGUUCUGUCAUGUUAUUGCAGCUUCUGGCAAUUUUUAGACUAAGAGGUGACUCCCAAGGUCACCUAGUGAAGCAACUGGUACAGGGUGUAUCUGACAGAUGGUUUAACACCCACUGUACUUCUGAUGGAGACAGCCAAGGCAGCAGGCUUUGCAACUCUGCUCAGAAGAUGGGACAAACUGCCCAAAAGAAAGGGAAAUCCACCCUAUGCAGGCCUGUUGGGGACCCUGAGCAACAGGCACAUGCAACUGCUUGAAAUAGUGGGAGCCUGCCCCAGCAAUGUCCUUAACCUCUUAAAUUAGGGCCAAAGAUGGACAUUCCAGUCACUAAGAUAUGGUGAAGGGAUUAGAGGAUUCUGACAGCUGAAGCACUACUGAUGAUCCCAACAGCCACUCUGCCACAGGGGCAAUGAUGGAUCCAAGCAGACAGCUGCCAGCACUACACACUACUCAGGCACCAUCUUCCCAGUUCACCCACUGGGACCUGGGCACCAACCCCAGGCUGUUCUCCCCUGGCCUACCUCUGAGGGCAGACACUGAGCUAAGAGUCUAAAGUAGAGUGCAGGUUUUUUUACAAAACAACAGUGCAUUGCUACUUCAUCUCUCUGCACUUAUUUGAGCACAGAGUCCUACAGAGGGAACAAACUGCUCAUACUGACAACUAACUCGAGCACACGGGCUUCCUUGGGAACACCAACGUCAAUACGAAGCAUCAGGGGCUUGGGAAGUCUCUCUAAGCGUGCACGCCUCAACACUGCUCACGAGCACAAAGACAGGAAACGUUAUGGCUACUCUCAUUUACACUGUGCACAACCAACAGAGAGGGCAGACCUUCCUUCUCAAUACAGACAGUAUUUACCUAUGUAUUUUGGAACAGGGAAGGGACAUGAGGUGGAGAAGCAGGGAAGACAAGUUCAAGAAGCAGAGUCAUCUCUCUGCAUCCAAGAAGCUGGUGGCACAAAUAACAAGCCUGGCAAGUGAUCUCCCAUUUCAAGCACAGUUGGCUACCCGCUGGGUUCAAAAGAGCAGACUAUUUGUUAAUGAUAUAAAAUAUCGCAACCAUUUAAGAUGCAGCAAGGCAAGGCUACAGGGCUGGGGUUUAUGAUCAUGAACGAUGCCAGGAGCUACACAGCUAUGUUAAAAACUGUGAAAAGGCUGUUAAUAGCAGGAGUAAGCCAUAUGCUGCUCCUGGAAGGCCUUUUCCCUCCAAAGCCCCUCCAUCAUGCCGUUGGUGUGAUGUAUUUGAAAAGGAGAGGGGGACUUUUCUAGGGGUAAAGCCACAGAACAUGAGGACAGUCUGAUCUGGUCUCACAGAUCCCAUGUUCCUAGCCUGGCACUGAGCUUCCAUCAGCAAGCAGACAUUCAGGUCCUUCAACAGAAGUGUAUGCCCUUCUACCUUCAAAAUUUGUAGAGGUGAAAGAAGUCCAGCAGAGCUGAGCUGGAAAGCACAAACAGGGAUGAAAACAACCAGUUUGCAUACUGAUCUUUGUAUAAUGACCCCCCACCCUCACAGCUCACUCUUCCCCAAAUAAAGACACAUUGUUCAAUGGCAUGUUGAAAAGACGUGCUCGUCAUUCUUAAUAAACAACUAGAGUAAGAAUACAUAAGAGAAACAGGGUGGUAUCUUUAUAUGAUACACAAGUGUAUGUUACAAGAAUUCCAUCAGGCACAGAAGCCUCAAGGUUUAAGGCCUCAAUGUUAGGCCAAAAAAGAAGAGUGUGGUAAAGUUUGUACUUUUAACAUCUAAAAAUGUCACUUAAAGGUCUGAAUAGAAAUUGUUGGUUUGUUUUUUUUUUUUUGUAUAAAUCAUAAUUGCAGUUCACUCUCUCCUCUUUCUUCCAAGAUAUCAGCAAAUUAACGUCCAAGCACAAGAAAAGAAGAUGCCUGCCUCUCCUCCACUGGCUGAGCAGGUCCAUCCAUCAUUCUGUGCCCUCUAGGCUGCACGUGCUCCAGGGAGACAGAGGCCCUGGCCAACCAGGCCAAUCCUGUAGUUCAUAUUUUCUACAUCAUAAAAAAAACCCAGAGUCAACCAGCAGCUUUCCACAGCUCCCAGCUUGCAGGGGAUAUGCAGCCUCCAAUGGUUCCAACAGUUUGGUGUGUUGGGUAGGAUACACAAUGGGUAGGUUUUCCUUUAGAUUCUUUUAAAGAGAAGAAGCCUAAAAGGGCUUCAUAACUACACCAAUAAAAAACCAAAAACUUA
This is a long non-coding RNA of Pipra filicauda (Wire-tailed manakin), 7123 nucleotides long. RefSeq lists it as uncharacterized. The record is from RefSeq and is a predicted model, not a curated record. Lineage: Eukaryota; Metazoa; Chordata; Aves; Passeriformes; Pipridae. The transcript is spliced from 2 exons.